Long non-coding RNA from Ruditapes philippinarum (Manila clam), 1659 nucleotides. RefSeq lists it as uncharacterized. The transcript is spliced from 3 exons. NCBI's taxonomy places the organism in Eukaryota, Metazoa, Mollusca, Bivalvia, Venerida, Veneridae. The record is from RefSeq and is a predicted model, not a curated record.
AUUGUAAAAACUUUAAAAAACUUCUCAUAAAAACCCCAAAGAUUUAAAGCUUGGAUAUUUAUCAUGAAACAUCUUCUAAUGGCUGUCUACCAAGUUUGUUCAAAUAAAAGUCCCUGGUUUAAAAUUGGCAUUGGCCCAGGGGUCUAUAUACAGGUGAGCGAUUUCAGGGCCAUCAUGGCCCUCUUGUUAAUAAUACACAUACCAUGUUUUGAUUAAAUACCUACAUACCUAUACAAACCUAUUCCAGACCACAGCCUCCUUGCAUAGACCUGAACCAUGGACCACAGAGAAGGACACAAUGCUUCCUCUUUCACAGAAAUCUUUUGAACAGACCACAGCCUCCUUGCAUAGACCUGAACCAUGGACCACAGAGAAGGACUCAAUGCUUCCUCUUUCACAGAAAUCUAUUAAACAGACCACAGCCUCCUUGCAUAGACCUGAACCAUGCACCACAGAGAAGGACACAAUGCCUGUUCCUUCACAGAAAUCUAUUGAGCAGGUACAUGACCUUUGAAAUAUUCCUGUACUAUACUUUAUUUUCACACUGAUAUUUCUUUUGAUUAUUAAUUCGUCUAUGUAAAAUGUGUUUCUAUAGGUUUUCAAAGCAGUGCAAUGAAAAUGUUUAAUCAUAUUUUAUAGAUUGAUUUUAUGAGAACCAAAAGUUUUUUCCAUGUGACCUUUCAAAAUAUACAAUAAUAAUUCUCUUGUUUUUAGCUCACCUGAGCAAUGCUCAGGGUGAGCUAUUGUGAUGGCCCUGUGUCUGUCGUGCGUCGUCAACUUUUAACAUAAACAACAUCUCCUCUGAAACCAAUGACUGCACAUCAACCAAACUUUACAGAAAUGAUCCUUGGGUGGUCCCCUUUCAAAGUUGUUCAAAUGGUUCCGGUCUGUUGCAUAUGUAGGUCAUAGGGCCAGAAAAGGAUUUCAAAAAACACAAAAUUAAAAAAUCUUCUUGUUUGAAAGUACAUGGGCCAGAGCUUUGAUUUUUGGUAUAUGGUAUCAUCUAUGAGUCCUCUACCAAAGUUGUUCAAAUUUUGUCCCUAGUGUCAAAAUUGGCCCCGCCCCGGGGGGUCAUAGGUUUUUAGCUCACCUGUCACAAAGUGACAGGGUGAGCUUUUGUGAUCACUUUUCGUCCGGCGUCCUGCCGGCAUCCGUCCGUAAACUUUUGCUUUAAAUGACAUCUCCUCAUAAACCACUGAGCCAAUUUCAUCCAAACUUCACAGGAAUGUUCCUUUGGUGGUCACCUUUAAAAAUUGUUCAAAGAAUUUAAUUCCAUGCAGAACUCUGGUUGCCAUGGCAACCGAAAGAAAAAUCUUUAAAUAUCUUCUUUUAAACAACCCUAAGAGCUAGAGCUUAGAUAUUUGGCAUGAAACAUCUUCUAGUGAGUGUCUACCAAGUUUGUUCAAAUAAAAGCUCUGGGGUCAAAAUUGGCCCCGCCCCAGGGGGUCAUUGAUUUCCCUAUAUGCAUAUAGUAAAAACUUAAAAAAUCUUCUAUUAUAGAACCCAAAGAGCUAAUGCUAAGAUAUUUGGCAUGAAACAUUUUCUAGUGAGUGUCUACAAAGUUUGUUCAAAUAAAAGCCCUGGGGUCAAAAUUGGCCCUGCCCCAGGGGGUCAUUGAUUUUCCCUAUAUGUAUAUAGUAAAAACUUAAAAAAUCUUCU